Molecule: ribosomal RNA, 491 nt
Filed under: uncultured bacterium
Lineage: Bacteria
Description: partial 16S ribosomal RNA
Rfam family: Bacterial small subunit ribosomal RNA
Source: RNAcentral
AGUGAACGCUGGCGGUAGGCCUAACACAUGCAAGUCGAACGGCAGCACAGUAAGAGCUUGCUCUUACGGGUGGCGAGUGGCGGACGGGUGAGGAAUACAUCGGAAUCUACUUUUUCGUGGGGGAUAACGUAGGGAAACUUACGCUAAUACCGCAUACGACCUACGGGUGGAAGCAGGGGAUCUUCGGACCUUGCGCGAUUGAAUGAGCCGAUGUCGGAUUAGCUAGUUGGCGGGGUAAAGGCCCACCAAGGCGACGAUCCGUAGCUGGUCUGAGAGGAUGAUCAGCCACACUGGAACUGAGACACGGUCCAGACUCCUACGGGAGGCAGCAGUGGGGAAUAUUGGACAAUGGGCGCAAGCCUGAUCCAGCAAUACCGCGUGGGUGAAGAAGGCCUUCGGGUUGUAAAGCCCUUUUGUUGGGAAAGAAAAGCAGCAGGUUAACACCCCGCUGUUCUGACGGUACCCAAAGAAUAAGCACCGGCUAACUUCGU